GAUGAACGCUGGCGGCGUGCCUAAUACAUGCAAGUCGAGCGAACAGACGAGGAGCUUGCUCCUCUGACGUUAGCGGCGGACGGGUGAGUAACACGUGGAUAACCUACCUAUAAGACUGGGAUAACUUCGGGAAACCGGAGCUAAUACCGGAUAAUAUAUUGAACCGCAUGGUUCAAUAGUGAAAGACGGUUUUGCUGUCACUUAUAGAUGGAUCCGCGCCGCAUUAGCUAGUUGGUAAGGUAACGGCUUACCAAGGCGACGAUGCGUAGCCGACCUGAGAGGGUGAUCGGCCACCAUGGAACUGAGACACGGUCCAGACUCCUACGGGAGGCAGCAGUAGGGAAUCUUCCGCAAUGGGCGAAAGCCUGAAGGAGCAACGCCGCGUGAGUGAUGAAGGUCUUCGGAUCGUAAAACUCUGUUAUUAGGGAAGAACAAAUGUGUAAGUAACUAUGCACGUCUUGACGGUACCUAAUCAGAAAGCCACGGCUAACUACGUG
RNAcentral lists this ribosomal RNA (497 nucleotides) under uncultured bacterium. Its description in RNAcentral is "partial 16S ribosomal RNA". It matches the Rfam family "Bacterial small subunit ribosomal RNA", at positions 28 to 507 of the family's 1533-position model. The record is from RNAcentral.